Molecule: ribosomal RNA, 460 nt
Filed under: uncultured bacterium
Lineage: Bacteria
Description: partial 16S ribosomal RNA
Rfam family: Bacterial small subunit ribosomal RNA
Source: RNAcentral
CCUACGGGUGGCAGCAGUGAGGAAUAUUGGUCAAUGGACGAGAGUCUGAACCAGCCAAGUAGCGUGAAGGAUGACUGCCCUAUGGGUUGUAAACUUCUUUUAUAUGGGAAUAAAACGUUCCACGUGUGGGAUUUUGUAUGUACCCUAUGAAUAAGGAUCGGCUAACUCCGUGCCAGCAGCCGCGGUAAUACGGAGGAUCCGAGCGUUAUCCGGAUUUAUUGGGUUUAAAGGGUGCGUAGGUGGAUUGUUAAGUCAGUUGUGAAAGUUUGCGGCUCAACCGUAAAAUUGCAGUUGAAACUGGCAGUCUUGAGUAGAGUAGAGGUGGGCGGAAUUCGUGGUGUAGCGGUGAAAUGCUUAGAUAUCACGAAGAACUCCGAUUGCGAAGGCAGUUCACUGGACUGCAACUGACACUGAGGCUCGAAAGUGUGGGUAUCAAACAGGAUUAGAUACCCGGGUAGUC